This 174-nucleotide ribosomal RNA is filed under the name uncultured Ascomycota. RNAcentral describes it as "partial 18S ribosomal RNA". It matches the Rfam family "Eukaryotic small subunit ribosomal RNA", at positions 1661 to 1831 of the family's 1831-position model. Lineage: Eukaryota; Fungi; Ascomycota. The record is from RNAcentral.
UGUACACACCGCCCGUCGCUACUACCGAUUGAAUGGUCAUAGUGAGCAUAUGGGAUCACCCGUACCAGGAUGGCAACAUCCAGGUGUGGGGGAGAACUAUGGCAAACUAGAUUAUUUAGAGGAAGUAAAAGUCGUAACAAGGUUUCCGUAGGUGAACCUGCGGAAGGAUCAUUA